Molecule: ribosomal RNA, 486 nt
Filed under: Triticum aestivum (bread wheat)
Lineage: Eukaryota; Viridiplantae; Streptophyta; Magnoliopsida; Poales; Poaceae
Description: partial small subunit ribosomal RNA
Source: RNAcentral
AUGGCAGGUAGAGGGGCCGCCGCCACCCCUCUCCUUGGGCGCCACCUCCUCCCCCAUCGGGUGGCUGCUCCUCGUUUCUUCCACUCCCGAGACGCCAACUCGAUGGCAGGCAGAGGGGCCGCCGCCACCCCUCUCCCUGGGCGCCACCUCCUCCCGCAUCGGGCGGCUGCUCCUCGGGACGCCAGAUCCGCGGGCUUGCCGCUGUUCAGCCGGAGAAGAACAAGAUGGAGUAGACGCUGGCCAGGAGGUCGCUGGGCUUGGCCCGGGCGAGAGCACAGGAGGAGAAAAGUGAAGGGAGGAGGCGGCACAGUGGAGACGAGGGGAGGAGGGGAGCGGGGCUCGAGAAGCGGAGGGAUUGGCUGCUCAGAGACGAACGGGAUUGGGGCUAGGUUUUCACUGCACACUACGACCCAGCCCCACGACUCUCACUUUCUCACCCAGGACGCACACGGGAUGCACCAAUACACUGCGCCCGUAGAAAUUUGA